UAAGGAUGGCUCUGAUUGCUCUCACGCCCCCACAAUUUUUUGGAAACUCCGGGUGAGCCGACCAGCCGAUAAUUCAUGGAUUCGUAUGUUUGAUAACUGGGCUGUCGGAAGAAGACAUUCCAGAAAAGAGAAAGCGUGCGUUGCUUAUCCCUUGCCUGGGUACGGAGGGACAGCGGAUUUAUUUGUUUUGUGUCUGAUGAACAAUAUGAUACUGCGCUGACUGCUUUGCGAGCAUUUUUUAUACAGAAAGUUAACGUGGUUGCCAAGAGAAACAAAUUUCGACAGCGUGCUCAGUGAUACGGUGAACCUAUUGUGCAAUAUGUGGCUGCUCUGCGUGGGCUUCUUGUUAACUGUAAAUUCGGCUUGCUCGCUGACGACUUGGGAAACGUCUGCUUUUGGAAACGGAUCUCACUCUGCAAAAGGCGAUUACGAUCGCGGGACAAACUGAGUCUGCAGUAGCCGAAGCUAAUGCUAUGGAGCGAACCGAAACGUCUGUUAAAGUGGUGCAUACUGGCUGACGUGAUGGUCCAAAACAGCGGUGGCGACAGACAUGUGCUACACGACGUCAUUUGAAGCGAGACUGGUCUGGCCAAGGGAAGAGCACGAUAGAAAGUGGUCUGCGAGGGCGUGGGAUCAAAAAGAUGCAGUCGUCAAUGCACACAACACAACCAGUACAAAAGUAAUGGAGACCAUGUCCAAAUAUUUAAAAAUAUGCACCAGAGAGGAUGGGUGGUGGUGGCCAUAAGAAGACUCUUCCUUGAAGACACCUUUUUUCCUUCUUUUUUAAUGACUGUUGCUAGUAAAAUGUUAAGUUCUACUAAAGACUUCUUGUUCUACAAACUUUCCUUACUUUUACUUGGAUUCUUUUUCACUUAAUUGUUGAGAUUUUAGAAUGAUACGAAAUGAGUACAUAUGUUGGUCACGAAAUGAGUACAUAUGUUUGUUAUUAUUUAUAUAUAGGCUAUUGUGUAUAUUUGCAGUGUUUAUGAAAUUAGAAUUAAA
This is a long non-coding RNA of Triplophysa dalaica, 1002 nucleotides long. RefSeq lists it as uncharacterized. The transcript is spliced from 3 exons. The record is from RefSeq and is a predicted model, not a curated record. Lineage: Eukaryota; Metazoa; Chordata; Actinopteri; Cypriniformes; Nemacheilidae.